Canis lupus familiaris (dog) is the source of this 528-nucleotide long non-coding RNA. RefSeq lists it as uncharacterized. The record is from RefSeq and is a predicted model, not a curated record. The transcript has 3 exons. NCBI's taxonomy places the organism in Eukaryota, Metazoa, Chordata, Mammalia, Carnivora, Canidae.
GAAGCAGCAGACUCCCCACUGAACAGAGAGCCUGACUCGGGGCUUAGGGGCUCAAAGGACUCAGGGAGCCCAGGGGCUCAAUCCCAGAACCCUAGGAUCAUGACCUGAGCUGGAGGCAGACGCUUAACCGACUGAGCCACCCAAGUGCCCCAAAACAAGACUUAUUUUCAUCUCUUGCCUAUUCUCUCCAACAUUCAGUUGACUGCAACUGCCAUCAGGAGACAGCCUUCUGCGAACGGUCUUACCGAGUCUUACAGGGUGGGCAAAACUGCCUGAAAACUGACCCUUAAAUACAUACAUUGAUACCAACUGAUGGCAGAACGAGGUACAAGAGAAGUUCAUUUCUCUGAAACAGAACUACAUGAUGAAGAUGCAAUCAGUCUUGAGGAAAGUCAAGUGUAUUCUAUUACUUUGAGGAUAUAUUUGCUGAAUUCUAUCAUGGGAAUAAAUUUAAACUUCCUUAAUCAUUUUGGUCAGUUCUAACCUUCACUAUUUUCAGAGAUGCCUGGUAUUUUAAAAUAAAACUUC